This 301-nucleotide ribosomal RNA is filed under the name uncultured bacterium. RNAcentral describes it as "partial 16S ribosomal RNA". It matches the Rfam family "Bacterial small subunit ribosomal RNA", at positions 509 to 808 of the family's 1533-position model. The record is from RNAcentral.
CAGUAGCCGCGGUAAUACGGAGGGGGCUAGCGUUGUUCGGAAUUACUGGGCGUAAAGCGCACGUAGGCGGCUUGGUAAGUUAGAGGUGAAAGCCCGGAGCUCAACUCCGGAAUUGCCUUUAAGACUGCCGAGCUAGCAGGUGAGAGAGGUAAGUGGAAUUCCGAGUGUAGAGGUGAAAUUCGUAGAUAUUCGGAAGAACACCAGUGGCGAAGGCGGCUUACUGGCUCAUACUGACACUGAGGUGCGAAAGCGUGGGGAGCAAACAGGAUUAGAUACCCCCGUAGUCCCUGUCUCUUAUACA